This 496-nucleotide ribosomal RNA is filed under the name uncultured bacterium. RNAcentral's name for it is "partial 16S ribosomal RNA". It matches the Rfam family "Bacterial small subunit ribosomal RNA", at positions 28 to 506 of the family's 1533-position model. The record is from RNAcentral.
GAUGAACGCUGGCGGCGUGCCUAAUACAUGCAAGUCGAGCGAACAGAUGAGGAGCUUGCUCCUCUGACGUUAGCGGCGGACGGGUGAGUAACACGUGGAUAACCUACCUAUAAGACUGGGAUAACUUCGGGAAACCGGAGCUAAUACCGGAUAAUAUAUUGAACCGCAUGGUUCAAUAGUGAAAGACGGUUUUGCUGUCACUUAUAGAUGGAUCCGCGCCGCAUUAGCUAGUUGGUAAGGUAACGGCUUACCAAGGCAACGAUGCGUAGCCGACCUGAGAGGGUGAUCGGCCACACUGGAACUGAGACACGGUCCAGACUCCUACGGGAGGCAGCAGUAGGGAAUCUUCCGCAAUGGGCGAAAGCCUGACGGAGCAACGCCGCGUGAGUGAUGAAGGUCUUCGGAUCGUAAAACUCUGUUAUUAGGGAAGAACAAAUGUGUAAGUAACUAUGCACGUCUUGACGGUACCUAAUCAGAAAGCUACGGCUAACUACGU